AUGCAGACGAGACUCAAGCCGAUGGAUGGGACAAAAAGCGCAGCCUGCAUCCUCUCCCAGAGAAGGAGAGAAAAGCAGGACCAGACAUCACCAAAGUCUUGGGCCUCUUUUGGAGCUCCCAUGUUUAAUGGUGAUCACCUCUGGCUGGAGGACCUCAUAGGUCCCUCAUCUUACCAGUCCUUACCCAGCCAGCCAUCCAGCCCCAGUGUCCCCAGCAACAGCUCAGGAGGCAGCAGCGAGGGCACUGGCAGUUUGUACAGCUGGAGUUCAGGAGCGACCUGUAUCCUGCACAGCUCUAUCAAGAAGCAAAGCCAGGAAGCUUUUCAGACGCAACUGAGAGAGGAGAGAAGGUGGGAGAGUCUUUCAAGGGGGCCUCAUGGUGGAUCUCAUCCACAGGCGGAGCAGAGAGGAGGCAGCAACCACAACAAGCUCGAGGCAUGGACAGACAGCGGUGGGCUGGGUCAGGGGAGGGGCUCCGCAUGGACCCAUGGCAGCACUAAAAGUGUAAAACUAAAGUGUCUGCUGGAGGAAAAGGUUGAAGCCAAACUGAAGUUUUCGCAGUUUUUGGAUGAGGUGACCUCCAACGUGCUUGACCCAAACUGCCUGCAAGCAUUUGGGAAACCACUCUCGCCCUCCAGCUUCACCACUACAAUCCCAGCUCAGCCUGAAGACAAGACCGAAGAGGAGACACAGUGGAGCCCCGGGCUGCCCUGCUCAAUGGCCCGACAGCAGGCCUCUUUACUCGAGCAGAAGACAACCAAAGAAGAGCAGACUCCCCUUGACUCGGCACAGAAAACCUAUCUGGAGACAGACAUUGACAGUGUGAGGAGGGAUGAGAAGCCACAGGACCUGGAGAUAAGAGAGACACCGCCACAGCAGGAGAUAGACGAGACCCACGUGAUCCCACCUCCUCCAGAGUUCAGUCAAGGGUUUGAGAUGAAGAGUCCCUUUCCGGAGUUUCAUUGUGACUUCCCCAGAUACCCCUACAGAUCUGCCUCUCUGCCCAGGGGCAUCAACAUGGUGAGUGAUGAAAGUCAUCCCAGUCUUUAA
This 1050-nucleotide long non-coding RNA is filed under the name Dicentrarchus labrax (European seabass). Its description in RNAcentral is "lncRNA (ENSDLAG00005028841.1)". The record is from RNAcentral. Lineage: Eukaryota; Metazoa; Chordata; Actinopteri; Moronidae.